This is a long non-coding RNA of Cucurbita maxima (winter squash), 452 nucleotides long. RefSeq lists it as uncharacterized. NCBI's taxonomy places the organism in Eukaryota, Viridiplantae, Streptophyta, Magnoliopsida, Cucurbitales, Cucurbitaceae. The record is from RefSeq and is a predicted model, not a curated record. The transcript has 2 exons.
GCUAGGGUUUUUGCGGCUCCACCGUUUUACUGCUUUGCCUCUAUAAAUUUCCCUGAAAUUGCCGCUUGUAUUCAAUCAAAGCGAAAGAAAAAUCAGAUCUGAAGCUUCUGCUACUGUGCUGGGGAGGACAGAAGGAUCAAUGAAGUCACAACAGUUUUAUCUUCGACAGGACUUGCCCCUUGUCUUGAAUUUGUACGUUGCCUUCUCAAAGACUCCUCGCCAGAUCAGUGAGUGGUCAUAAUGAUGAUUUUUUGUGUAGAUGCUAUGUAACACCUAAAGGAUUUGGCAGACUAGAGAUGAAAUUUUGAUAUGUAAUGAAAGGUGGUUUCCAAUACGAUCAUCAAUUAUUGUUUUGUCAUAAUAGUGAUAUAUAUAAAUCCAGUAGUAGAUAUCUUGAAAAUAACUGGUAAGGUCAUCUCUUAUAAUCUAAUUGCCCAGUAUUGCAAUCCAAA